GUGAGCCACCACACCUGGUCACAUAUAUUAAAAUUGGAAUGUUACAGAGAAGAGUAGCAUGGCCCCCAUGCAAGGAUGACAGGCAAAUUUAUGAAGUGUUCCGUAUUUUU
Small nuclear RNA from Pan troglodytes (chimpanzee), 110 nucleotides. Lineage: Eukaryota; Metazoa; Chordata; Mammalia; Primates; Hominidae. The record is from Rfam.